GGUGAUAGUAUUUGCAAUUAUGAUGUAAUUUGAGCACCUUCUUGUUUGUCGAGGAUAUAGCCUUGUUCAUAUUUUUUUCUCUUGAAGUACAUGUGACUCUGCUUAAGAAGACUACAGCCUUCUCCAAAAGAUGGUGCAGACACAUUUAUUAUAGUAAAUACUUUUGUAAGGUCACAUAAUGAAGUAUAAUAAUUCUCAGUCACUGCCCUAAAUUUGAAAUUCUAAUUAUACAAUUAUCAUAAAUUCCUAGCAGCUGGGGAGUCUGGGUUAAGUAUUAACAAGGCUAAGUAUUUUAGUGCAUCACGUAAGGCAGAAUAGAGUAGUGAAUAAGCAAGUGGGUUUGAAUUUUGGCUCUUUCAGUUAUUAACCUCUUUGUGCCUUGAGAUUCUUAUCUUUUAAUGGAAUAAUCAUAUCUACCUCACAAAAUCGACAAAAAGAUUAAAUAAUAUAUGUAAAGGACUUAGCACAGUGUUUGGCUUAUAUAGAAAGGACCCAAUAAAUGAAUAAGUGAUAAUGCUGCUGGUGGUAGUGAUGAAGAAGAUGGUGAUGUUGAAGAAGAUGAUGGUGGUGGUGAUCAUCAUCGUAGGUCACAGAAAUUGAAACGUGGGCUUUUUUUUUUUUUUUUUUACUCCUCACGAAGAAACAGUCAAGAGAAGCUUAAGGGGGGCAAUUUGGCAUCUUAGAAAGCAUGUUAUGGUUUAUUGCAAAGAAGCCAGAGGACAUGGAUUGGAAUUCUCAAAAUGAAUGCCAGGCUCCCAGUCCCUCUUGGAAGGUUCGACAGAGCUGAGGAUGGCUUUGCUGCUAUAGUAGCAAAGGAUGAUCUCCUUCUACCCCUUCUCCCUGCCCUCAGUAAUCCCAACUACCAUCAGAAUAAAGGCACCAUUUAUUGACUUCCUUAUAGGUGCAAGGACUUUACUUGCAUUAUUUUUUUUAAUUUUUUUUUUUUUUUACGUUUUUAUUUAUUUUUGAGAGACAGAGACAGAGCACACGUGGGGGAGGAGGAGGAAGAGAGAGAAUGAGACACAGAAUCCGAAGCAGGCUCCAGGCUCUGAGCUGUCAGCACAGAGCCCCACGCAGGGCUCGAACUCACAAACUGAGACCAUGACCUGAGCUGAAGUCAGAUGCCCAACCGACUGAGCCACCCAGUAGGGAGUCUCCCUGUUGAGAUGUAGCUUGGGGGCUGGAUUGGUAUCUAUGUCUGGCUUCCUGAUGCUCUGCCAAUACCUCUCUUGCAAGAGUGUGGGGUGGAAAUUCAGCUCCCCAUUUAGUCCUACUGACCGCUUCCUGAAGAAGGUGGAGUGUUCUGACUUGCUCUAGAGGAUAUACUUCCAAGGUGGCUCACUCACAUAACAAGUCGGUGCUGACUGUUUGCUGGGAACUCAACUGAACCUGUCAGCCAGGGGUCUUGAUAAUUCUCCACAUGAGCCUCUCCACAUGGUUGCUUGGGCUUCCUCACAACAUGGUGGCUGGAUUUCAAGAGUCCCUCCACAUUGCACUUUGAAAAAGCAGUUCUCUCAAGAGAUAUAAUGAAGGAUAUUGGAAUGGCAUGCCCUGGGAAGCUGCUCUUGGCCCGGUCUUCGGAAGCACUCAUGUGCAGAGUUAUUCCUUUAGGAAAGUUACAUAUCAGCAGAGGUCAUCAGCCAGAUAAAAUCCAAGGAAUAACCAGGUAACUUCCAAGUCACGUAAUCUCUACGUUUUAGCAAUUCCAGCAAAGUAAUUUCUUGUUACUAUAGACAGGGAGUGAUGCAGAGUGCUGCUAAAAUUCUUAAGUUCAUUAUUUCUAGCAGUUGAAAUGUCAGCCAGGUCAAAGUGCAUGGUGUCUUUGUAACUAUCUUGAUUUUGUACAAAAAGAUCCAUCAUGUUUGUGCUAGGUUCUAAUAGCACUGCUAUCCUCUAUUCUUGUAUUUUGAUUCUGUGUCUAUACCUGUAAUUUUUCCAAGUGAUUAAGACCACGAGUUAUUUCUUCUACAGCUGACAUUUCCUUAUGUGAUUAUUCAUCUCUUUAGUUGUUUUAACAGCCACGUUUUAUUAAUGAUCAUUUGCUGUGCAGUAAUAAACUCUGUAUCAUUUAGUCCUUCUGGAAUUUCCUGAUCCUUGAUUACAGUGUAACAUAUCGCCUGAUUAAUUGCUCAUCAUUGCUGUUUUCAGCUUCUGCAUGAACUAGUUAAGGUUAUUUUUUCCCUUUUUGGUUUUACCAUCCCCUGAAGAUUUUCAUUUUCAACAAAUGUAUUAGUUGUCUUCCACUUCUGUCACUUACUUUUUUGCAUUCCCUGAUAGCACAGAGCAUAUACUGACUCCUUGCAAAUGGUUACCGUUUACUCGUGUUUCAGUCGAGCACAGUGAUUCUCAGAUUUUAGUGUGCCUUAGAAGCACUUGGAGGGCUUGUUAAAACAUAGAUUGCUGGGUCCCACUCCCAGAGUAGGUCUGGGUAUGGCCAGAGAAUUUGUAUUUCUAGCAAAUUCCCAGGGGUGCCCAUGCUGCCUGUCUAGGACCAAGAGUGGAGAACGACUAGCAUAGCAGGUUAGAAUAGUGGUUAAGGGCCUAAGUUCUGGGUUCAGCUAAUAUGGGUUCAGACAACAGCUACCAAUCUUGGGAAAGCUAAGGUCUUACAAAACUUCAGUUUCUGCAUUAGUAAAAUCAGAAGAGGGCCAACCUUUUAGACUCCUUGUAAGGAUUAGAUGAGAUAAUCCCCAUAAAGCACUUAGUACUGUGGCAAGAUGUCGAUGCUCAAUAAAUGUUAGUAUUGGUAUAUUUUACAAGAUAUAAGGAAUUAAUGUUCAAGUUUAAUUACCAAAAUUAAGAAAAUGUGCCUCCUUUCACAAAUUGGUCACUCUUCUUUGGAUCUUGAUUUUCUAUAUUGCUGAGUUAGAAAUGCUAUUUAAAAAAAAAAAAAAGAUUAGCCAUGUGGACAGAAAGAUGCAGUAGAGAGAUCAUGAGAUUUGGAAUCGGGAAAACGCCUGGGUUCUAGUCUAGACUCUGCUAUUCCUGGCUUUGUGACUCACAGCAAUUUUCUUCUCUCUCGGAUCCAAGUUUCCUGUAAAUAUCUUCUAAAGUGGUGACAUAAAUGGUAAGGAUUGUUAUAUGGAUCAAAUGAGCUAGAUCAUUUGGUAAGUUUAUUUGAGUUUAAUGUUCUAUAAUAUUAUUGUCAUUUUUAUUGAGAAUAAGGGGCUAUCACAAUUUUUUAUUCACUGAUUCGUUAUCAUUGUGGAAAGUCAUGCAUCUGUGGAGUAACAAUUAUUGAAAAAAUUUUUUCAUUAGAAUUGUUUUGAGGUGGUAUUGACUCUAACUGGGAAUUUGUAAACGCUUACAUAUGUGACAUGUUAUUUUCUAUUAGUAACCUAGUUAGAUCUCUUUCUUAUUGGCUGAAAUGCUGGCUCAUCUUCCGAACUUUUUACCUGGAGGGAAUUGACAUCUGAAUGACCAUAUUUUCAAAUGAUGCUGAGGGAGAGAGAAAUAAUUAUGCUAUAUCUGAUAAUGAUUGGACCAAAAAUGCACUUAGAGAAAGCUUUGUUCUCAUGGUGUGAGUUGCUGAGUUUUGAUAAUAGAUUUUAGAAAAAAAAUCAGGGACUUCUUUGCAUUGGAUACUACAAGAUUCUUUCAGAAGAGGAAAGAAGUUACACGUAAUCAAAAAUUUUAAAUGUAGUGUUAAACACUGUGUUUGAAGAUACCAAAAUGAACUACUCACAUUUCAUGCUUUCAAUGCAUUUUUCUGUUGAAGAAAGCAGAACGACAUGCAAAAGUCACGACAUACGUUCCAAAGAAGGCCGAGUCAGGGGGCAGGGGCGAUGCUGAGGGAGACAAAGGCAGGGAGAUUGUUUCUGGCUGGGGAACCAGCACCCUCCCAUUUUCAGGCUGCGUGCUGAGCCACAUUAAGCCAGUGUGUCUGAGUAUCAUAAGGAGCCUGAAAAGGACUUUGUGAGCCCAAUUUAUUGACCUUCACAAAGGAUUAUAUUUAAACCAUCUCUGACAGAUGAGAAUCUAUCCUCCAUUGGGGGAAGAAAUCCUUCCCUUGAAGGAGAUUUUAUAACCUUCCUUAUUAACUCAUUUCAGUAUUUACCAUCCUUUGCUUGCUGCACAGAAACCUGUUUCAGCUGCCACAGGAACAUCAGGAUUUGUCCUCUCUGGACUUGCUGAACACAAACUUACAUCUUUAUGUAACCAAGCAUUGUCAUCUCUCAGGGGCCGCCAUGUCACCGUCUCAUCAGUCGAUUACACAAUUAAACAAUUCUCUAGGAAUCAGGAUAUAGUCAUGGGUAAGAGCAUCAAGGGUCAGGCAGUUCCAGAUUAGAGUAUUGGUUCCGUCACUUUCUCGUACCUGUGACCUUGGGAAAAGUUACUUAAAACCUCCAAGCCUCAAUUUUCUUACCCAUACAACUAGGGUAAUAAACACAACAUGUCUACCUCCCAGGGUUAUUGUGAAAAUGAGAUUAGAAAAUGCAUGUUUUAGGUUGGGCUACAUGAAAUCAUUAAUAUGUGCCCAUUUUGACCACAAAAAUAGCAAUCUCAAGUGGUUCACACUAAUAAGUGGCUUAGCAAGGUACCUGAAUUUUAUCAAAGAUUUGACAUUAAUAACAAUUUUUAGAAACACAAAACUUUAAUAAUGUAUUAACAUAUAUGAUGUUAAUCUAGUAUAUAUAGCGUAAUAUAAUAAUCAUAUUAUUAUUGUCAUCAUUGUUAUUGCCGUGGUGUGCAAUAUUCAGUGUAGGUGCUAGAGGAUAUUCCUGCAAACAAACCAUUCUGAUUCCUGGUGCUGUGUGUGAUGCCAUAAAUGUGUGGAAGAUAGAGCGUCUAGGUCGGCCUGCAGAGGUAAGGGAAGGUGCCCAAGAGGCAGCAGCACUUGAACUGGGUUUUCUAGGGUCAGUUGGAGAUUUCUGGAUAAACAAACCUAGGGAGGAAGAUAGAGCAGAAGAAAGAGCAUGGACCUAAGCCACAGAGGUGGGAGGGAAUAGGGGACACUCAGUGACUCACGGUGAUUCUGUGCGGUGAGAACAUAAACUGGGACGUGGGGGUGGAAGGAAUUGAGAACGGAGGAAGGAAGAAAGAAAUGCCUUGAAAGAAAGGUAGAUUUUACUGGGGAAGUGUCAUGACUGGUUUUGCCAGUUUGGAAGCUUCCUCUGGAGGUUUUUUGGAGCAUGACUGGCCUGGAGCAAGGGUGGACGCAGAGGGAUGUGGAAGGAGGCUACUGCAGUGGUCCAGCUGAGCAGUAACGUCAGCUGAACCCAGGGCGGUAGCAGUGUGCUUGGAGAGGAGUGGAUGCAAAUGAUAUGUUUAUGUUUUAAAGGUCCUAGUGAUGUGUGGGCUCAGUCAAGAGGGUGACAUACAAGUUGACUUGUGCGUGUGUGGCUUGGGCCCUGGUCACACUGUUCCUGAGAUACAGGACAUAGGAGGAGCAGGAGGAGAAGACUGGGGCAUGGAAACAGGGUGGGAGAGCGCUGAGGACAUAAUGAAAUGAGCUUUGGGCAUGUUGUGUUCAGAGUGUAUGAGAGCAUUCCAUCCAUAUCCUCUGACUUUCCUAGGGACUGAUGUCUCUGAUCUUACUGCCACAUAAGGUGUCCUUGAGUACGUACCAAGGAACUCAUGAGGCUCUUGCCUGGGCAGUUUGGGAAGAUUUCACAUUAGAUCUCAGUUUCGUUGGAGUCUUGCCUCCCUGAGGACAUUGGUCAUAUACCUGUGCUUAUUAGAUAAUGGUUGAGUACAAAAGGUAGCUAACACUAAUAAAUAGAACAUUUACUACGUGUUAGGCACUAUUUCAAGUGCUUUCUGUUAAAACAUCAUUUAAUUUUAGCAACAACUGUAUAAGGUGGGUAGUACUCUUUUUUUAAAGUUUAUUUAUUUUGAGGCGGGGGGGGGAUGGGAAGAGAGAGAGGGAGAGAGAGAAUCCUGGGCGGGCUCUGCACUGUCGGCACAGAAUCCAACACAGGGCUUCAUCUCACAAGCCAUGAGAUCAUGACCUGAGCCAAAAUCAAGAGUCAGACACUUCAUGAACAGAGCAGCCCAGGCGCCCCAAGGUGAGUGGUAUUCUUAACCUCAUUUUGUAAACGAGGAAAUUGAGGCUUGUGGUGGUGGAAUGACCUAUCCAAGGUCCUAUAACUAAUGAGUGGUAAAGCCGGGGUGCACACUGAGAUGGAGGUCUCCAGGGAUUGUGUUCCUAGAAAAAUGCCUAGGUGUAUAAUUUGGCCUAGGCUGGAGAAUUGAAUUGUAAGUUCCCUGUCUGUCGGGGUGAUUACAAUUGGAUUUUAGUGUUGUUAAAGCAAGCCUUAUUUGGUCCAAAGUACUUCACAUAGUGCUCUAAGGUUUGUAGAUUCCAAAAUCUAGUGUAGGGGUUAAAAUUUCCUCUGUCUAAUCCACAUUCUCCAAUGGGAAUGAUUCUAGGUUUUGGUCCUAAUCUUACUGUAUCUGGUGUAUUAUUUCAUUUUGCAUUCUAGUUUGGGGCUUCUAGUCUUAGGAGUCAGAGAGGAGUUACAAUUCCAGGUGAUAUUUAGUCUCUGCGGUAAUUUAAAUUCAUUGCUUAUUUUUAACUUUGAUGGAAAUAGAGAUUUUUGUCUUCUGUUUUCUCUUCUUCCUCCCUGAGCCACCUGUAUGAUGUGCUGGUGUCCAGCAUUGUUACAAUCCCUCCAUUCAUCCUUGCUGUGAACUACGUGUUUGUGUUUCCCCAAAAUUCAUAUGUUGAAGCCCUAAAGGUGGGAGGUGGGGUUUUGGGGGAGGUAAUUAAGUUUCGAUGAGGUCAUGAGUAGAGAGCCCUCAUGAUGGAAUUAUACCCUUAGAAGGAGAAGGAUGCCAGAACUUCCAUUUUGCCAUGUGAGUACACAACAAGAAGGCAGUAUCUGCAAGAGGACCUCACCAGUCCCCAGAACCAUGAGAAACAUGUUUGUUUGGAGCUGGACACUGCAGCAUUUACAGAAUGGUACACACAGCUUCUGCAACUCCUUUUACUAUGGGCAAAUAAGUAGUUAGCUUUUCUGACUACCAAGAUAAGAGUGUGUAGGAACCAUCUCUGCUUUCCUAGGUGAGAAAGGUGGCUGUUGUUAAAUGGUUCCAGGUCUUUUGUAAUGACUCUUAGAACUUUGAUAGUAGUAGAAAACUUUGGGAGAAUCUUCUAAGUGAGAAGCUGUUAAGAGCCUAAGGGGCAUGAACGGGUCUGGGAGAAUUAGCCAUGGAAGACUUACCCAUUCCUAGAAUCCAUGUUGAUCAGUAACAUUGGUUCUGAAAAUGGCUUAGAGAUAAAAAUAUCUUUCACAGAAAGAUGAAGGUCUCCUUUCACGAGAAAAGGAAGAUGCCACGUUUUUCUACAAGCUUUGUAAUGGCCUCAGCUAAUAUAAAUCAUGGAUGGGUGUGGGAAUAGGAAUAAAAAAGGCAUGGUUGCUAGAUUCCUUUCAAAGAACAAUCUUCAUGAGUCAUAGUGACUGAUUACUAUGUGUAAUGAAAGAUAGGAAUGUCAGUGAUGAUGGAGUUUUCAAGCCUGCCUAAGUGGGGAAAUGUUGGUGUUAUUGAUGAAGGAAAGGAAUUAAGCAUGCUGAGCCCAGUGUGGAUGGAAGGAAAAGGACGAGAUCAGUUUGGCAAGUGUUCAUUUGAGGGGAGAAAAUGGAACAGCCAAGUAGGCAUGUUCAGCAGGAAUCAAAGACAACACAGCAGGAGCUCGAGUGAGAGAACAAGGUGGAAGGUAUAAAUUUGGGUGUCAUUUAUACAGGCAUGAUCCCAGAAGCAGACAGAACAUUUGCAGCAGAAGAAAGAGCUCAGCACCUAGGCUGAAUUUUCAGAAAUGCUGAGAAUUCAGAGUUAGGGGACAGCAAGGAGAAGAAAAUCCAGGGGUGGAGACAGAUCAAGCAAGGAGGUAGAAUGACUUAUUCUGGAAGUGGGUGGAGGCCAUUUCAAGGCCUCAAGACAGGUGAUCAAUAUGUCCUUGAGCUUCUUAUUCAAGAAAUGUGUCAGUAAAGGAGGAGUAAUAAAAGGUGGUGGCUAGAGCAGACACCAAGAUCAUACUGAAAUUUUCUUUCAAGGUGAAGGAGAAACACACAGGUUGGGUUGGAAGUCUACGCAGAGGGAAAGUUUGAAGAUGCCAGUGAAGGGGAAUAAAUAUAGCAACAGUAUCUCUCAGAUGGGAUCUAGCUUUAGAGAAAAAGGGCAUAGAUUCCUUUGAGUUGGAGAGAAGGACAAGAAGGGUAAAAAUGAAGGUUGAAAAAGAUCUUUUUAAAAUGAAAGUGUUAAAGAAGGGACUCUCUAAAGUUGCUCCUUAAAAAUAGAAUGCGGAGUUAUUUAUCAAGUAAGAAUGUGGAUUUCAGAAGAAGUAAGAGAUUUUGGAGUAGCUAUUGGUAGAUGUUAACUAAUCACCCACAAAUGAGGAAAGAACUUUCAGCUAAGUAGCGAGUUGCUGAAUUUGAGUAGCAAUCACAAAAUAAAUAUUUGUUGAGUUCCUUCUAAGUACCAGGCACGUGUACUUGAAGCCAGAAUAUAGGCUUACAUCUUUUACUAGCAAUUCUCUGUGACCAAGGCUCAGGGAUACAGAGAAUCAAGGGAGAGGACUCUAGAGUAGAAGGAAGGACCAUCCUGAAGAACAUGGUGGGCAGGCAUCCAGAGUGCCAGGCCACUCAUAACAUAUUCUUCCAGAUUCUGAUACUGUUUCUUCUUGUAUAUGGACAAAACUCACCACCUUCAACAUUCCUUAGAAAAUUACAUCUGGAUGUGGGGUUCCUGGGUGGCUCAGUCAGUUAAGCAUCCUACUUCAGCUCAGGUCAUGAUCCCACGGUUUGUGAAUUCAAGCCCCACAUCAGGCUCUCUGCUGUCAGCCCAGAGCCCACUUUGAAUCCUCUGCUCCCCUCUCUCUCUGUCCCUCCCCCACUCUCUCUCUUAAAAAAAAAUGAAUAUUAAAAAAAAUUACAUCUGGAUGUUAAUAAGCUGGAGUCAGGAAUAAGGAAUAGUUCCCAGAAAGGGGGGAGAAAAUUAGCAUUCUUUGGAAAAACAAAUAAAUGAAUAAUUUUUAAUAAUGAUGUUUGAUCUUUUCAGCAGUUUUAUUAGGACUCACUAGGUAUGGCUUUCUUUGUAUUUGUCCAGAAUAUUCAUGAAUAGUAGAAUGGAUAAGUAAAGUGUUGGCAAGUGUUCAUUUGCCAGUGGAAUACUAUACAGCUAGGAAAUACUAUACACAAUGGAAUACUAUACAGCUAGGAAAAUGAAUAAACUACAGUUACACACAACAGCGUGGGUGAAGUUCACAAACAUUCUGUCGAGUGAGAGAAGACUUACACAAAAGAAUACAUAUUUUUUUCAUUUAUUAGGAAGUUGAUAUGUGAUGUUAGAAGUCAGGAGAGCUUUACAUUUGACUAGGAGUGAUAGUAUGAGAAGUCUGCUAAUGUUCUAUUUCUUCAUCUAGGUGGUUUCAUUUGAUCUAGCUGGUUUCAUCUAAACUAGGUAUUUACCUUGUGAUAAUUCAUCGAGUUAUAUACUUCAAGUUUGUAUGCUCUCUGUAGUAUGUUACACUUAAAAGGUUUGUUUUUUUUUUCCCUACAGAUAUGCUUGUUAUCAAUGGGAAGAAAAAAAGAAACCCAUUUGAAUUUAGUUUGAAGAAAGCAAACUGAAAAUCUAUUGAAUAUCACAGAUAUAAUAUUCCACUCUUUAUUUUACAGACUAGGAAACAAACAUUUAGAUCUAGUAAAUGCCCGAUUUUAGGUCUCAGAGAUAGUACAGGGUUAGAACUGAAGGCCAUUCUUGAAUUCCAAAUCAAAAUCCAGAGCUUUUCACCAAUCUCCCAUAAUAUACACAUAAUAUACAUAAAUCCUUUUAGCUCUCGAACCAAAGACUGCAUUCAUUCAUUCAUUCAUUCAUUCGGCAUCUGUUGUGGGCCAGUCAUUGUGCUAGGUUCAGGGUCUCUUGUCUGCUUCCCUGUAGCCCAGUGAGCGUUGUAGUACAAAAAUAAACAGCUCUAAGGAACACAUGUUGGGAGCUAUUAGAGCCCAAGUAGAUCAGGGAUGUUGUCCUAGAGGUGUAUUUCAUGUGUGUUAGAUAUUCUGGGAGGCACGCGUUCAGUGGUUAGGUGGGUAAACUGGGGUAACACUGCCUGGGUUGAAGCUUUGGCCAUAUCACUUACCUGCUAGGCAUUAUGACCAAGCUGCAUAACUUCAGCUUAGUCACACAAUCGCUCUGUGCUUCAGUCCUCUCAGCUUUAAAUUGGGGUCAAAUUCUGGAAGUUAAUAUACAUAAGUGCUUAGGAAGGUUCUGGGCACAUAACAGCAGGUACCAAGGAUGAAGGGAGGCUCAUUGGGAAAAGUCUGCCUCAGUGGAUAGGAGCAUUUUCUUACUGACGUUGUUUAGAAUUGUCAACACAUGGUAGUCAAAAAAGCAGACUUGUUUUUGUUUGGGGGGGUGGUAUUACUGUUUUUUAAAUUCUCUACAGAUGAUUCAACUCCUUAUUGCUUGCAUCUGAAGCAGAUCCUCCCACUACCCACCACCCCCCCCACUCCCAGCCUCUAUAUCACCAGGUACAUAGUAAGCACUACAUAAAUGCAUGCUAGUGUUAUUCUUUAGGUUUGGAAGGCCACGGAGCAAUUCCCCCAGAGGAACUGGGGGGUGGGGGUUGGUAGGAUGGGAGGAAAAGGCCAUCCUGACAGAGGGAAAUAGCACUUGCAAAGGCAAGUAGGUGAAAAGAUUGUGUUCAUUCAAACCAUCAGUUAAUACUCAAACCAGGAAGAGAGCAGGGCUUUCCUGAGGAUAGUGGUUCCAUUAUUGGAAAGGAAAGCGAAUCACUGUGAAUUUUACUUUGACAGGCAUCAAUGAAGGCCACUCACAGUUUCACAUGAGAUCCUUCUGCCUUCAGUUCAACAUUUUCCCCACUCCUCGGCAUUGUACUUGGUUGCCUUUCUGCUCUAGAGAGUCAAGGAUGGCUUGAAGAUAUUCACCCUUGAGAGUGUAAUUCUGCCAACAAGCUAUUUCUGUGCAGUGCUUCUUACUGCACCCAAUGUGAGAGCCUACUUUGACGGCACUUGAAGCAGAGAGCAGAGAAAUGGUGAAGGUCAAGUGACUAUUUACUGAUGAUGUUGGAAAUGUCUUUGACAGUUGCUGCUUCUCAAGUAGGCUUCACGCCCAGUGCUCAGCCCAAUGAAGGGCUUGAACUCAAGACCCUGAGAUCAAGACUUAGCUCAAGCUGAGAUCAAGAGUUGGACGCUUAACCGACUGAGCCUCCCAGUUCUCCAGUUUUGUUCGGUAUACAGUAUGCAUUCUGAGAUACCGCACAUGAAAACAUACCAAAAAACAUGGAUCACCGUUCUUCCAGCUCCAUGGAUGGUUUCCUCAGCAGUUUCUAGUUAAUGCUACAUUUUUGUUAUGGUAGGAGCUCAUUUCUGUGUACUAAUUUUUGUUGGUUAUCUACUCAUAAUGGAGAUUAUGGAGAGAGAUUACGCUAUGCAACAAACAAUCCUAAAAUCUUGGUGGACUAAAGAAGGAAGGUGUAUUUCUCUUUCACACUAUGUCUUUUCAAGGGGCUCUGCUACCUUGUACCAUCUCCAGAUCCUAAACUAGGAGAAUAACCACAGUCUGGAGCAUAGCAAAUCUCUAAGGGACAGGUAAAGAGUGUAAGGCUAAUCACAUAGUAGCUCUUAAGCUUUCAACCAAUAAGUGACACACUUGUUCAGUUACAUUACCUGUAAUCGGCCAAAUCAAAUAGCUCACUACCUCAAACCCAAGGGAACGGAGAAAUGAAAUCUUAUGAUACGCCUCUAAAGAGAGCAGGCAAUAUUUGGCGAACAGAAAUAAUGACUACCACAUCCUUUAGUGGGUUUUGUAAAUCGAAGUUUAUUAUAGUAGGUCUCAAGUAUAUUCAGAAAUGGGAGCUAUAUUACGAGAAAAGAUGACUCUGCAGAAAUAUUUUUUUUGCAUCUUUGCAAUGGAAUUGUAAGUGAUAGACAUAUAAUCAUAAUUAUAUAGUCAUAAUCAGCUUCUUAUUCUGACUUCAUAUGUUAAAAACCUGUUAGUUUACAAGCAUAUUUUAGAAUAUAAGGAAUACUUUUUAAAAAGACUGACAUAAUACCCCAACUCAACACUUCAGUAUAUAUCCAGGAAAAAAUCCAAAAUUCCAACAAAGUAAAAAUGUGUAAUUCAAUGUUAUUUAUAAAGAGAAAUUUGCAACAUCCCAUGCACUUUUAAAAAGUACAGUAUAGGGCACCUGGGUAGCUCAGUUGGUUGAGCACCUGACUCUUGAUUUUGGCAUAGGUCCCAAAAUUGUGGGAUUGAGCCCCAUUUCUGGCUCUGUGCUGAGCAUUGAGCCUGCUUAAGAUU
Molecule: long non-coding RNA, 12261 nt
Organism: Acinonyx jubatus (cheetah)
Lineage: Eukaryota; Metazoa; Chordata; Mammalia; Carnivora; Felidae
Exons: 7
Source: RefSeq, a predicted model, not a curated record